CUCAACGAUCGUCUUGUAUGUGUAUAGCUAAAUUAACAAAAGGCUGCUAACAUACACAUACCAUUAAAAUCUAAAUGAAAUUGACUUAAAUGAAUUGGAUUUACUUUUGAUAAUUGCAGUUACUGAUACCUUACGUGAAACUUCUAUUGGCGCGCUUCGGGUGUAAGACCAACUUGUAAGCCGUGCCGGAAAACGACAUGACGCUCUCUAAUGUCGUCAUGCCUCCUCUCUGCUACCACUUUGGUGAUCGUGUCUAGAAGUCCAGUCCUUGCCGCCGCGGUUCUCUUAAUGAUGUUAUAAAAAACUUCUGGAGUCUAGUCACAAUCGACGUUACUGUUUUAAAUGAACUCUCUGGAAUCAGUCAUGAUAAUAUCAGAUGACUGUUACCAAGUAACAGUGAUGGGCCCUAUUAUGGGACGCCACAGCAUAUUGGGAUAUGAGACGGGGUCUCAUAUCAUGGAAACAAUAUUAAGGACCAGAGUCUGAAGUGAAUAAACGGCUCUCCGAUUACUCAGUUUCAUCAGGCAAUGCACGCAGUAACUCCGCGGCAUCGGACAUUCCUGUAACUUUGCCAAACUCCGCCCCGACGGUAUAUCACGGUCCGUAUUUAAAUAUAUUUUUCAGGGAAUCAUAAAUCGCGAAUGAGUACCAACUUCGCUCAUUCGUUGUCGCGGCGAAAUUUUGUUUGGUAGUUUGUUUCGAGAUCCCGGAUAAGUUGAGCGUGACAAUGCUGAAUUUUAAAUUGGUUUCCGGAUACGAGGCUUACGAUUACCUAGCGUUUUAAAUGUAAUGUUUUAUUCCUAUUGACGAUAAUUUAUAUAUUGACUAUCUUAAUCUAUUGACUUUAAUCUAAAUGCAGGCUAUGUACCUGCUUAUGUAAUAAGUAUGGUAAUAUGUCGAUAGUAAUGUCAAUAGCACUAAACCUAUA
Molecule: long non-coding RNA, 928 nt
Organism: Nymphalis io (European peacock)
Lineage: Eukaryota; Metazoa; Arthropoda; Insecta; Lepidoptera; Nymphalidae
Exons: 4
Source: RefSeq, a predicted model, not a curated record